CAGCCGCCGCGGUAAUACAGAGGGUGCGAGCGUUAAUCGGAUUUACUGGGCGUAAAGCGUGCGUAGGCGGCUUUUUAAGUCGGAUGUGAAAUCCCUGAGCUUAACUUAGGAAUUGCAUUCGAUACUGGGAAGCUAGAGUAUGGGAGAGGAUGGUAGAAUUCCAGGUGUAGCGGUGAAAUGCGUAGAGAUCUGGAGGAAUACCGAUGGCGAAGGCAGCCAUCUGGCCUAAUACUGACGCUGAGGUACGAAAGCAUGGGGAGCAAACAGGAUUAGAUACCCCUGUAGUCCUUGUCUCUUAUAA
RNAcentral lists this ribosomal RNA (301 nucleotides) under uncultured bacterium. Its description in RNAcentral is "partial 16S ribosomal RNA". It matches the Rfam family "Bacterial small subunit ribosomal RNA", at positions 509 to 809 of the family's 1533-position model. The record is from RNAcentral.